This 253-nucleotide ribosomal RNA is filed under the name uncultured bacterium. Its description in RNAcentral is "partial 16S ribosomal RNA". It matches the Rfam family "Bacterial small subunit ribosomal RNA", at positions 524 to 776 of the family's 1533-position model. The record is from RNAcentral.
UACGUAGGGGGCUAGCGUUGCUCGGAAUGACUGGGCGUAAAGGGCGCGUAGGCGGACGGCACAGUCAGGCGUGAAAUUCCUGGGCUCAACCUGGGGACUGCGUCUGAGACGUGUUGUCUUGAGUAUGGAAGAGGGUUGUGGAAUUUCCAGUGUAGAGGUGAAAUUCGUAGAUAUUGGAAAGAACACCGGUGGCGAAGGCGGCAACCUGGUCCAUUACUGACGCUGAGGCGCGAAAGCGUGGGGAGCAAACAGG